This 64-nucleotide transfer RNA is filed under the name Stenopsyche tienmushanensis. Its description in RNAcentral is "tRNA-His". The record is from RNAcentral. Lineage: Eukaryota; Metazoa; Arthropoda; Insecta; Trichoptera; Stenopsychidae.
AUUUAAAUAGUUUAAGGAAAAAUAUUGAUUUGUGGAAUCAAAGUUAUAUUAUGUAUUUUAGAUA